Molecule: long non-coding RNA, 844 nt
Organism: Antechinus flavipes (yellow-footed antechinus)
Lineage: Eukaryota; Metazoa; Chordata; Mammalia; Dasyuromorphia; Dasyuridae
Exons: 2
Source: RefSeq, a predicted model, not a curated record
CAGUGAUGGAAUAACUAAAACUUAUCAAUGAAGCAUUUUUUUUUAAGAAGGGAGAAAGAGAAAGAAAGCAAGAGACAAUGACUGGACAGCUUACUUAGUUCAUUAGUAUCCAUAUGAGGUAAAAAGAUUUAGAGGAAUGCUCCUACCAUGUUGGGUGGAUCCCCUUUGGCAGAUUUACAACAAAACAUGAAUGAGCAUUGCAUAAGCUAAGGAGUAGAUGAAUUGGUAUCUGCACCUCUGAAUGGAAAACCCACAUUUAUGAGAUCAUAGAUACAUUGAAGGAUUGUAAUAAUUAGCAUUUUACUGCUCCUGCCCUUUAAAUUCUCACUCCGCUGAUGUCAAUGAUCCAAUCCAUAACUAUUAGCAAUUUGGAAGAGGGGAGAUCCUGACUUUUGAGCUGGAAUUGCAACCAACAUACUUCAGCAGAAAAUGAUCAGUCAUCUGUCCUGAAACUGUGAACAAUCCCUGCACUUAUAACUACGAAGUGAACCAAACCAGAGGCUGCAUUCCUGUCCCUGCCAUGUUAACUCUGGCUCUCUGCCCUGCUGAACUAUCACUAGUCUCAGCAACCCUUAAAACCUGAGACAAUCACAAGGCUCAAUGAUUCUAUUAAUUUUGAGACUGUUUGAGACCUAAGAACACCUAUAUUGUCCCCAAAAUGCCAGCAAAAAUGCACUUGCCAUGGGAACUAUUUUCUUAACUUACUGUAUUGGAUAUUUCCUUUUUUGUGGGUUUUAUGCUUAAAAAAUCCUACUCUGCUACAAAUGAGAAAGUCCUCCUUCUUGAGAGGACUUCUGCUUGCAACAUUUCCCUCACUUUGAAAUUAAACUUCUGUUUGAAUUCU